This 356-nucleotide ribosomal RNA is filed under the name uncultured bacterium. Its description in RNAcentral is "bacterial SSU rRNA". It matches the Rfam family "Bacterial small subunit ribosomal RNA", at positions 796 to 1165 of the family's 1533-position model. The record is from RNAcentral.
UUAGCUGUAAACGAUGUAGACUUGGCGUCGGUGGGGUAAAAGCCAUCGGUGCCGUAGCUAACGCGAUAAGUCUACCGCCUGGGGACUACGGCCGCAAGGUUAAAACUCAAAGCAAUUGACGGGGGCCCGCACAAGCAGCGGAGCGUGUGGUUUAAUUCGAUGCUACACGAAGAACCUUACCCGGGUUUGACAUGACGACGAACGAACGCGAAAGCGCGAGGGCCCUUCGGGGCGUCGCCACAGGUGCUGCAUGGCUGUCGUCAGCUUGUGUCGUGAGAUGUCCGGUUAAGUCCGGUAACGAGCGCAACCCUUGCCAUAUGUUACAAGUGUCAUAUGGGACUGCCGGUAUAAAGCCG